RNAcentral lists this ribosomal RNA (492 nucleotides) under uncultured bacterium. RNAcentral describes it as "partial 16S ribosomal RNA". It matches the Rfam family "Bacterial small subunit ribosomal RNA", at positions 29 to 507 of the family's 1533-position model. The record is from RNAcentral.
AGUGAACGCUGGCGGUAGGCCUAGCACAUGCAAGUCGAACGGCAGCACAGUAAGAGCUUGCUCUUACGGGUGGCGAGUGGCGGACGGGUGAGGAAUACAUCGGAAUCUACUUUUUCGUGGGGGGUAACGUAGGGAAACUUACGCUAAUACCGCAUACGACCUACGGGUGAAAGCAGGGGAUCUUCGGACCUUGCGCGAUUGAAUGAGCCGAUGUCGGAUUAGCUAGUUGGCGGGGUAAAGGCCCACCAAGGCGACGAUCCGUAGCUGGUCUGAGAGGAUGAUCAGCCACACUGGAACUGAGACACGGUCCAGACUCCUACGGGAGGCAGCAGUGGGGAAUAUUGGACAAUGGGCGCAAGCCUGAUCCAGCCAUACCGCGUGGGUGAAGAAGGCCUUCGGGUUGUAAAGCCCUUUUGUUGGGAAAGAAAAGCAGCAGGUUAAUACCCCGCUGUCCUGACGGUACCCAAAGAAUAAGCACCGGCUAACUUCGUG